This is a non-coding RNA of Vicugna pacos (alpaca), 429 nucleotides long. NCBI's taxonomy places the organism in Eukaryota, Metazoa, Chordata, Mammalia, Artiodactyla, Camelidae. The record is from RefSeq and is a predicted model, not a curated record.
GGAAGGAGGAGCCGACACUUGACAGAAUCCCCUCCUCCACCAUCUCUGACCUCCCCAGCAGCCGGCCACUAAGUUGCAUUUGGCGAGAGUUCCCCGUAGUAAUUUGGUUAAUUGGAUGAACAGGCACUUCAGUGACAGAGACUGGAUUUCCACACUGCAGUCCAUCAGAACUAAUCAGCUGGCUGUGUUCCAUUUCUCAGCAACUGACAGCUUCACCAGGGUGAAAAUAUGAUGCUGGCAUGCUCAUUGCGUGAGACAACUUGGCCCACAGACAGCCACAAAGCACAAAAACAGAACAAACUCAGAGAAGAAACAAGAAUGGUGUUUUCCUGGCGUCUACAAGAAGCGCUUUAUUUUUCCUCUAGAUUUCUUUUCUAAAAAAAGUGAAACAAAACAAAAAACAAAACUGAAAACAUUUUAAAGAAACGA